This 477-nucleotide ribosomal RNA is filed under the name uncultured bacterium. Its description in RNAcentral is "bacterial SSU rRNA". It matches the Rfam family "Bacterial small subunit ribosomal RNA", at positions 33 to 507 of the family's 1533-position model. The record is from RNAcentral.
ACACGCUGGCGGCGUGCUUAAUACAUGCAAGUCAACUGAACUUUAGGUAGCAAUAUUUAAAGGGAGGUGGCGCACGGGUGAGUAACACGUAGGUAAUCUGCCUUCAGGACUGACAUAACUCCGCGAAAGCGGGACUAAAAUCAGAUGAUGCAGCGGCUCGACAUCGAGACAGUUGUUAAACCUUCGGGGCCUGAAGAUGAGCCUGCGUCUGAUUAGGUAGUUGGAGGGGUAAUGGCCCACCAAGCCUGCGAUCAGUAGCUGGUCUGAGAGGAUGAUCAGCCACACUGGAACUGAGACACGGUCCAGACUCCUACGGGAGGCAGCAGUAAGGAAUAUUGCUCAAUGGCCGAAAGGCUGAAGCAGCAACGCCGCGUGGAGGAUGAAAUACUUUAGUAUGUAAACUCCUGUAAGAGGGGAAAAAUAUACAGUUCUGCUGUAUUGAUUGUACCCUCAGAGUAAGCACCGGCUAACUACGUG